Long non-coding RNA from Prosopis cineraria, 702 nucleotides. RefSeq lists it as uncharacterized. Lineage: Eukaryota; Viridiplantae; Streptophyta; Magnoliopsida; Fabales; Fabaceae. The transcript is spliced from 2 exons. The record is from RefSeq and is a predicted model, not a curated record.
GUGUCCUACAAUUUCAGACCAUAUCAGUGAAUGAAGUCUGUCAAUUUGGCAUUAUAUGCAUUCUUUCAUCAUUCACUGGAGUUUUUUUGUAAACGAACCUUCUUAGGGGCAUUAUUCUCCAACUUCAGAUUACCAGUUCCACUAGUUUUCCCUUCCUGGAAUAGACUUAAUCCAUGGGACAAACUGUCCAAAUCCAAUGCCAAUAUUAAAAACCACUUUUCAUAAUCAAUUGCCCAAAAAACAUUCUGCUUGGCUUUCCAGCUGACAAGGUUGGCCUCAUCUUCAGGCGGUUUGAUCUCAAUGGUGUAAGGAAAUAACACAGUAAGCUUCUCAUCAACUUCUCUGCAAUCAUCUUCUGAAUCUAAUAUCUUGGAACCAAGUAUCAACACUGACCCUGAAAUUUUCUUUAGCAUUCUUUGGAACAAACUGUAUAAUGCGUGUGAGUUGAGAAAAAGAUUCUCAGCAUUCCUGAUAUAUAGGAUGAUAGGACUGGUUUCUGAGACAGAAACCAAGACCUGCAAUUAUUAUUAAAUCCUGCUUGUUAGAACUUUUUUUUUUUUCUCGGAGAGUGAGAAAUAGUUAUCCUUAGACACAUUAAGGGUACAAGAUUGCUACUUUCUUGCAGCAUUUCUACUUAAAAUAGCAAACUUUCUAAGAUGAAAUCACCUUAUAGAGUGAAUGCAUAAACAGUUUUUCAUCAAA